RNAcentral lists this small RNA (65 nucleotides) under Thalassobacillus devorans. RNAcentral describes it as "RNA-1". It matches the Rfam family "Bacillaceae-1 RNA". The record is from RNAcentral. Lineage: Bacteria; Bacillati; Bacillota; Bacilli; Caryophanales; Bacillaceae.
GGUAGGCGCUGGCCGAUGUAAACGCCACGUCCUGUGGCGACAUCGGCACUAGCACGUCCUGUGCG